GGCUGCCUUGGCUGACUCCCCCAUGCAUGCAUGUUUGAUUGAUCAAUAAAGGAGCCUCAGGCUGUCUGAUCCAAAAUCAAUCGUGUGGUCAAUUUUCCACAACAAGUUGGGGGCUCGUCCGGGAUCCACAGAAGACUUCCCCAGACCGGAGGACCGCGGGCAAUCUCCCACCAAACCCAGGGCCCAUCUGAAAGGUGGCUCCGCUACCUAACUGCAGGCUUGUUUGCCAUCAACUGGCCCCACAGAGCAAUGCAAUCAGCAACAGUUGCAGGGAAUCUGCUGCCAGAUGCCCCCUCGUACGGAAAUGGGAUCAAGACUCUGGUGUGACUGGUUUGCUCCAACUUGCUAAGAAUGGUGACCAAUCAGAUAGUUAGCCAAGUCAAACUUGGAAGGGCCUGUACUUCAGAGUGGU
This is a non-coding RNA of Chrysemys picta bellii (western painted turtle), 412 nucleotides long. Lineage: Eukaryota; Metazoa; Chordata; Testudines; Emydidae. The record is from RefSeq and is a predicted model, not a curated record.